UCCUGAUGAUGACACCCGCACGUGUCAUACGCCCCGGCUGAUCCCAGAACCUGCGAAGGUGAACCCACUGGGGUUGCCGGGGCAACAAGGUGAAGGCCUUGUUGGGGUUGCCAACAGUCUGACUGGGGAC
This is a small nucleolar RNA of Osmerus eperlanus (European smelt), 130 nucleotides long. RefSeq annotates it as small nucleolar RNA SNORD22. Lineage: Eukaryota; Metazoa; Chordata; Actinopteri; Osmeriformes; Osmeridae. The transcript has a single exon. The record is from RefSeq and is a predicted model, not a curated record.